RNAcentral lists this ribosomal RNA (495 nucleotides) under uncultured organism. RNAcentral's name for it is "SSU rRNA". It matches the Rfam family "Bacterial small subunit ribosomal RNA", at positions 15 to 509 of the family's 1533-position model. The record is from RNAcentral.
GAUCCUGGCUCAGGAUGAACGCUGGCGGCGUGCUUAACACAUGCAAGUCGAACGAAUUUCUUACCGACCGCGACUUCGGUCAAGGGAAGUUAGAAGUGAGUGGCGGACGGGUGAGUAACGCGUGGGUAACCUGCCUUACACUGGGGGAUAACGAUUGGAAACGAUCGCUAAUACCGCAUAAGACCACAGUGCCGCAUGGCACAGGGGUAAAAGAUUUAUUGAUGUAAGAUGGACCCGCGUCUGAUUAGGCAGUUGGCAGGGUAACGGCCUACCAAACCGACGAUCAGUAGCCGACCUGAGAGGGUGAUCGGCCACAUUGGGACUGAGACACGGCCCAAACUCCUACGGGAGGCAGCAGUGGGGAAUAUUGCACAAUGGGGGAAACCCUGAUGCAGCGACGCCGCGUGAGUGAAGAAGUAUUUCGGUAUGUAAAGCUCUAUCAGCAGGGAAGACAAUGACGGUACCUGACUAAGAAGCUCCGGCUAAAUACGUGCC